This 498-nucleotide ribosomal RNA is filed under the name uncultured bacterium. Its description in RNAcentral is "partial 16S ribosomal RNA". It matches the Rfam family "Bacterial small subunit ribosomal RNA", at positions 30 to 523 of the family's 1533-position model. The record is from RNAcentral.
AUUGAACGCUGGCGGCAUGCCUUACACAUGCAAGUCGAACGGUAACAGGUCUUCGGAUGCUGACGAGUGGCGAACGGGUGAGUAAUACAUCGGAACGUGCCUAGUAGUGGGGGAUAACUACUCGAAAGAGUGGCUAAUACCGCAUGAGAUCUACGGAUGAAAGCAGGGGAUCGCAAGACCUUGUGCUACUAGAGCGGCCGAUGGCAGAUUAGGUAGUUGGUGGGAUAAAAGCUUACCAAGCCGACGAUCUGUAGCUGGUCUGAGAGGACGAUCAGCCACACUGGGACUGAGACACGGCCCAGACUCCUACGGGAGGCAGCAGUGGGGAAUUUUGGACGAUGGGCGCAAGCCUGAUCCAGCAAUGCCGCGUGCAGGAUGAAGGCCUUCGGGUUGUAGACUGCUUUUGUACGGAACGAAAAGCCCUGGGUUAAUACCCUGGGGUCAUGACGGUACCGUAAGAAUAAGCACCGGCUAACUACGUGCCAGCCGCCGCCGCGG